RNAcentral lists this ribosomal RNA (447 nucleotides) under uncultured Rickettsiaceae bacterium. RNAcentral's name for it is "bacterial SSU rRNA". It matches the Rfam family "Bacterial small subunit ribosomal RNA", at positions 29 to 505 of the family's 1533-position model. Lineage: Bacteria; Pseudomonadati; Pseudomonadota; Alphaproteobacteria; Rickettsiales; Rickettsiaceae. The record is from RNAcentral.
AACAAACGCUGGCGGUAUGCUUAACACAUGCAAGUCGAACGAACAAUCUUGGAGCUUGCUUCAAGUGCGUGAGUGGCAAACGGGUGAGUAACACGUGGGAAUCUACCCAUCAGUACGGAAUAACAUUUGGAAACAGAUGCUAAUACCGUAUAUUCUCUAAGGAGGAAAGAUUUAUCGCUGAUGGAUGAGCCCGCGCAAGAUUAGGUAGUUGGUGGGGUAAUGGCCUACCAAGCCGACGAUCUUUAGCUGGUCUGAGAGGAUGAUCAGCCACACUGGGACUGAGACACGGCCCAGACUCCUACGGGAGGCAGCAGUGGGGAAUAUUGGACAAUGGGCGAAAGCCUGAUCCAGCAAUACCGCGUGAAUGAUGAAGGCCUUAGGGUUGUAAAGUUCUUUUAGUGGGGAAGAUAAUGACGGUACCUACAGAAAAAGCCCCGGCUAACUCCG